Molecule: ribosomal RNA, 253 nt
Filed under: uncultured bacterium
Lineage: Bacteria
Description: partial 16S ribosomal RNA
Rfam family: Bacterial small subunit ribosomal RNA
Source: RNAcentral
UACGUAGGGGGCUAGCGUUGUCCGGAAUCAUUGGGCGUAAAGAGCGUGUAGGCGGUCCGGUAAGUCCGCUGUGAAAGUCGGGGGCUCAACCCUCGAAUGCCGGUGGAUACUGUCGGGCUAGAGUGCGGAAGAGGCGAGUGGAAUUCCCGGUGUAGCGGUGAAAUGCGCAGAUAUCGGGAGGAACACCAGUAGCGAAGGCGGCUCGCUGGGCCAUUCCUGACGCUGAGACGCGAAAGCUAGGGGAGCGAACAGG